This 95-nucleotide microRNA precursor is filed under the name Canis lupus familiaris (dog). Its description in RNAcentral is "miRNA (ENSCAFG00000053923.1, ENSCAFG00845008489.1)". The record is from RNAcentral. Lineage: Eukaryota; Metazoa; Chordata; Mammalia; Carnivora; Canidae.
AGGGGGAGGUGGACCCCACCCAGGUAGGUGAGGCCCCUUCGUGCCACCCCCAGAACCCACAGGGUAGAGGAGAGGCUACCACCACCACUGCUGUG